Molecule: ribosomal RNA, 380 nt
Filed under: uncultured Clostridium sp.
Lineage: Bacteria; Bacillati; Bacillota; Clostridia; Eubacteriales; Clostridiaceae
Description: bacterial SSU rRNA
Rfam family: Bacterial small subunit ribosomal RNA
Source: RNAcentral
UGGGGAAUAUUGGGCAAUGGGGGAAACCCUGACCCAGCAACGCCGCGUGAAGGAAGAAGGCCCUCGGGUUGUAAACUUCUUUUACCAGGGACGAAGGACGUGACGGUACCUGGAGAAAAAGCAACGGCUAACUACGUGCCAGCAGCCGCGGUAAUACGUAGGUGGCGAGCGUUGUCCGGAAUUACUGGGUGUAAAGGGAGUGUAGGCGGGAGAGCAAGUCAGAAGUGAAAAUUAUGGGCUUAACCCAUAACCUGCUUUUGAAACUGUUUUUCUUGAGUGAAGUAGAGGCAAGCGGAAUUCCUAGUGUAGCGGUGAAAUGCGUAGAUAUUAGGAGGAACACCAGUGGCGAAGGCGGCUUGCUGGGCUUUUACUGACGCUGA